Molecule: ribosomal RNA, 562 nt
Filed under: uncultured Staphylococcus sp.
Lineage: Bacteria; Bacillati; Bacillota; Bacilli; Caryophanales; Staphylococcaceae
Description: bacterial SSU rRNA
Rfam family: Bacterial small subunit ribosomal RNA
Source: RNAcentral
ACGGACGAGAAGCUUGCUUCUCUGAUGUUAGCGGCGGACGGGUGAGCAACACGUGGAUAACCUACCUAUAAGACUGGGAUAACUUCGGGAAACCGGAGCUAAUACCGGAUAAUAUUCUGAACCGCAUGGUUCAAAAGCGAAAGACGGUCUUGCUGUCACUUAUAGAUGGAUCCGCGCUGCAUUAGCUAGUUGGUAAGGUAACGGCUUACCAAGGCAACGAUGCAUAGCCGACCUGAGAGGGUGAUCGGCCACACUGGAACUGAGACACGGUCCAGACUCCUACGGGAGGCAGCAGUAGGGAAUCUUCCGCAAUGGGCGAAAGCCUGACGGAGCAACGCCGCGUGAGUGAUGAAGGUCUUCGGAUCGUAAAACUCUGUUAUUAGGGAAGAACAUAUGUGUAAGUAACUGUGCACAUCUUGACGGUACCUAAUCAGAAAGCCACGGCUAACUACGUGCCAGCAGCCGCGGUAAUACGUAGGUGGCAAGCGUUAUCCGGAAUUAUUGGGCGUAAAGCGCGCGUAGGCGGUUUUUUAAGUCUGAUGUGAAAGCCCACGGCUCAACC